RNAcentral lists this long non-coding RNA (253 nucleotides) under Daucus carota (carrot). Its description in RNAcentral is "long non-coding RNA (DCAR_LNC006711)". Lineage: Eukaryota; Viridiplantae; Streptophyta; Magnoliopsida; Apiales; Apiaceae. The record is from RNAcentral.
AGCUAUCACAAGCUUAAACAAUAAUGACCAGGUUUUAAACAACGGCGUACUAUCACAGUUGAUCAACCCAUGUGAUAAUACCGGGCAUGUUUCGUGGAAACAUGCCUCAAAAUAGGUACCAAUACAAGGCAACACAUUGGCCUUUGGCAGAAAAGUAUUAUAAUAUUUCAAUAAUACCCAAAUAGCCCUCCGCUGGACCGCCGUCUCGGUCUCUUACGCAAAAACAAAGAAAUCUUCCGAUUUCUUCCAGAAG